RNAcentral lists this ribosomal RNA (254 nucleotides) under uncultured bacterium. Its description in RNAcentral is "partial 16S ribosomal RNA". It matches the Rfam family "Bacterial small subunit ribosomal RNA", at positions 524 to 776 of the family's 1533-position model. The record is from RNAcentral.
UACGUAGGGUGCGAGCGUUGUCCGGAAUUAUUGGGCGUAAAGAGCUCGUAGGCGGUCUGUCGCGUCGGUCGUGAAAACUUGGGGCUUAACCCUGAGCUUGCGGUCGAUACGGGCAUGACUGGAGUUCGGCAGGGGAGACUGGAAUUCCUGGUGUAGCGGUGAAAUGCGCAGAUAUCAGGAGGAACACCGGUGGCGAAGGCGGUUCUCUGGGACGGUACUGACGCUGAGACGCGAAAGCGUGGGGAGCGAACAGG